AGACCCGAAACCCGGUGAUCUAGCCAUGGGCAGGUUGAAGGUUGGGUAACACUAACUGGAGGACCGAACCGACUAAUGUUGAAAAAUUAGCGGAUGACCUGUGGCUGGGGGUGAAAGGCCAAUCAAACCGGGAGAUAGCUGGUUCUCCCCGAAAGCUAUUUAGGUAGCGCCUCGUGAAUUCAUCUCCGGGGGUAGAGCACUGUUUCGGCUAGGGGGCCAUCCCGGCUUACCAACCCGAUGCAAACUGCGAAUACCGGAGAAUGUUAUCACGGGAGACACACGGCGGGUGCUAACGUCCGUCGUGAAGAGGGAAACAACCCAGACCGCCAGCUAAGGUCCCAAAGUCAUGGUUAAGUGGGAAACGAUGUGGGAAGGCCCAGACAGCCAGGAUGUUGGCUUAGAAGCAGCCAUCAUUUAAAGAAAGCGUAAUAGCUCACUGGUCGAGUCGGCCUGCGCGGAAGAUGUAACGGGGCUAAACCAUGCACCGAAGCUGCGGCAGCGAACGUAUCACUUAAAGCGAUUCAGCGGGUUACGAUUGACGGAGCGAAGCGACGUCAAAGCGUAUACAAAGUCGAGUCGGUUUA
RNAcentral lists this ribosomal RNA (584 nucleotides) under Salmonella enterica subsp. enterica serovar Infantis. RNAcentral's name for it is "partial 23S ribosomal RNA". It matches the Rfam family "Bacterial large subunit ribosomal RNA", at positions 711 to 1289 of the family's 2925-position model. RNAcentral also lists the same sequence under 12 other names. Lineage: Bacteria; Pseudomonadati; Pseudomonadota; Gammaproteobacteria; Enterobacterales; Enterobacteriaceae. The record is from RNAcentral.